This 706-nucleotide long non-coding RNA is filed under the name Homo sapiens (human). Its description in RNAcentral is "HSALNT0362993". The record is from RNAcentral. Lineage: Eukaryota; Metazoa; Chordata; Mammalia; Primates; Hominidae.
CGCCAGCUCCAACCAGGUCUAGAACCCAAACCUUCAACCCCUGAGCUUUCCUGCCUUCGAGUCCUCGGAGCUCUCCUGGAGGCUGAGCAGGCAACAGAGCCUGCUCCUCAGCUGGAUGUGGCCCGUGGGAGGUCUCUCAUCUGGGAAGUGGGAUGAUAGCGCCAACCUAGCUGGAUUGCUGUGACUGCCAGCACAAUGCCUUCUAAGGGUUCAAGAUGAGAUUACUUAGUCCCAGAUGGGUUAAGUAACUGGCCCAAGGUCACAGCGCUGAGUCUCGCUCUGUCACCCAGGCUGGAGUGCAAUGGCACAAUCUCAGCUCACUGCAACCUCUGCCUCCCGGGUUCAAGUGAUUCUCCUGCCUCAGACUCCUGAGUAGCUGGGAUUACAGGCACGCACCACCACGCCCAGCUAAUUUUUGUAUUUUUCAUAGAGACGGGGUUUCACCAUGCUGGCCAGGCUGGUCUUGAACUCCUGACCUCAUGGUCCACCCACCUUGGCCUCUCAUAGUGCUGGGAUUACAGGCCUGAGCCACCGUGCCCGGCUGAUCCCUUAUUGAUGCACAUUUAGCUUGUUUCCGUGUUUGGUAAUUACAUGAAAUGUUGCAAUAAAUAACUUUGUACACAUCCCACUUCAAAUGUGUGCUAGCAGACCUGUGGGAAAUUCCCAGGAGUGGAACCGCCGGGUUAGACGUGGCUAUGCACAGUUG